This 373-nucleotide ribosomal RNA is filed under the name uncultured bacterium. RNAcentral describes it as "bacterial SSU rRNA". It matches the Rfam family "Bacterial small subunit ribosomal RNA", at positions 523 to 898 of the family's 1533-position model. The record is from RNAcentral.
AUACGUAGGUGGCAAGCGUUGUCCGGAAUUACUGGGCGUAAAGGGUGCGUAGGCGGUCCUUUAAGUGGGAUGCGAAAUCCCUGGGCUUAACCCAGGAACUGCAUUCCAAACUGGAGGACUAGAGUGCAGGAGAGGAAAGCGGUAUUCCCAGUGUAGCGGUGAAAUGCGUAGAGAUUGGGAGGAACACCAGUAGCGAAGGCGGCUUUCUGGAAUGUAACUGACGCUGAGGCACGAAAGCGUGGGGAGCAAACAGGAUUAGAUACCCUGGUAGUCCACGCCGUAAACGAUGAGUACUAGGUGUGAGGGCGUAAGCCUUCGUGCCGUAGUUAACACAUUAAGUACUCCGCCUGGGAAGUACGAUCGCAAGAUUAAA